UACGUAGGGGGCUAGCGUUGUCCUGAUUUAUUGGGCGUAAAGAGCGUGUAGGCGGCCAGGUAGGUCUGCUGUGAAAACUCGAGGCUCAACCUCGAGACGUCGGCGGAAACCAUCUGGCUAGAGUCCGGAAGAGGAGAGUGGAAUUCCUGGUGUAGCGGUGAAAUGCGCAGAUAUCAGGAAGAACACCCGUGGCGAAGGCGGCUCUCUGGGACGGUACUGACGCUGAGACGCGAAAGCGUGGGGAGCGAACAGG
This 253-nucleotide ribosomal RNA is filed under the name uncultured bacterium. Its description in RNAcentral is "partial 16S ribosomal RNA". It matches the Rfam family "Bacterial small subunit ribosomal RNA", at positions 524 to 776 of the family's 1533-position model. The record is from RNAcentral.